UGGGGAAUAUUGGACAAUGGGCGCAAGCCUGAUCCAGCCAUGCCGCGUGAGUGAUGAAGGCCUUAGGGUUGUAAAGCUCUUUCGCCGGUGAAGAUAAUGACGGUAACCGGAGAAGAAGCCCCGGCUAACUUCGUGCCAGCAGCCGCGGUAAUACGAAGGGGGCUAGCGUUGCUCGGAAUCACUGGGCGUAAAGCGCACGUAGGCGGAUCGUUAAGUCAGGGGUGAAAUCCUGGAGCUCAACUCCAGAACUGCCCUUGAUACUGGCGAUCUCGAGUUCGAGAGAGGUUGGUGGAACUCCGAGUGUAGAGGUGAAAUUCGUAGAUAUUCGGAAGAACACCAGUGGCGAAGGCGGCCAACUGGCUCGAUACU
Molecule: ribosomal RNA, 369 nt
Filed under: uncultured bacterium
Lineage: Bacteria
Description: partial 16S ribosomal RNA
Rfam family: Bacterial small subunit ribosomal RNA
Source: RNAcentral